GUGCUUGUUUCAGCAGCACAUAUACUAAAAUCAGAAUGAUAGAGAGAUUAGUAUAACCCCCGCACAAGGAUGACAUGCAAAUUCAUGAAGCCUUCCAUUAAAAA
Molecule: small nuclear RNA, 104 nt
Filed under: Piliocolobus tephrosceles (Ugandan red Colobus)
Lineage: Eukaryota; Metazoa; Chordata; Mammalia; Primates; Cercopithecidae
Source: RNAcentral